GUCGGUGAGUGGCUGGGUCUGGGGUUGGGCAGAUGAAAACCUAACGCACGCACGCACAUGGCCUUCCCCCUCCCUCACUUUUACUCCCUCCUGGCCGCCGCCGCCGCUCCUCCUCUUCCUCCUCUCUCCCGUAGCAGAUCCACCUCCCCUUCCUUUUAUUCAUCCUCCACGCGACCAUCGACGAUGCGUGGUUCUAGAUCGGACGUCUCCAUGGAGAGCAGGGAUGAAGAAGCAGUACAGGCCUGCGGUGGGGCGACCCGAACCGAGGAGAACUCGGCGACAGGGAAAAGAAGCAGCAGUGGCAGCGCUUGUCUCGGUGGGGUGGAGCUGCUCGGAAGAUGGAAGGGGACUGUCGACUUGCGGGACGAGCAGGCCGGCCCUUGUUCGCCCUAGAGACACUUCCGACGCCGCAAGCCAGGGCAGCUCGACCACAGAAGCCCGCAGGAGCAGUAAACCAUGGAGGAUUUGGAGGCUGCUCACGUUUGUAACAGUAAACCAUGGAGAAUAUGGGGGAUGCACGACCUUAGAGCAGCAAACCAUGUCAGGCAAGGUAAAAGCAACACACAGUCAUACUGCUCAAACCAUGGAUGUUUGGGAAUUUUUUCUUAAGAUCUAUAUGAUUUUUGUCUGAAUAGUUAAAGUAUUUCUUUGGACUACUUUGAUUCUCUGAAAAAAUUGUGAGAAGUAAGAUGGUUGGCUUCUCAUGUAGAACUCAAUUUACAGUUACUAUCAUUUUUUUAAUUGCCACUGUUUUCCCUUUUCAAUUUAUAACAAGAUAUGUGCUUUUAUCAGGUUUACACAAAAAAGAUUCAGGAAAUCUAGAUUGGGGGAGCAACAAAAAGCUUCAGAUGUGUAAACUAAUAUAUACGUUCCAUAACUUUUUUGUGUUUGCAGCAUAGUCUAGAAAUUUAGUGUAGAGAAACUAAAAUAGUUCAAGAUAAAAAGGUUGUUGUACAAAACGAAUUGUUUGUCCCCGUUUAUCUUGUCAUUUUGUUACAAAUGAAAACAUAGUCGGGAAAAAUCAUGGAACGGUUUCUGUCAUGAAGCAUGAGAAUGAUAGUACCUGAAAUUGCGAGAGCUGGCCUUCUAUCUUUUUUUACAAGUACUCUGUUUUUCGUAGCUAAUAAUGAUGGUUGCAGCUUAUAAUUACUGAACUAUCCGGCGUGGUGUGGGCAUGUUGUAAUUACAUCCUUCGAUAUUUCUGUGCAAUAUUUGGUUCAUUUGGUAUUCAUAAAUUUAUUUAUGUCCAAUAGGAAGGAAGAUGCAUGAAGUUCCUGUUUUCUUGGGUGACCUCAGUUUCCUAAUGAUAUCUUCAUAGCAUACAGAUGGUUGCCAAUUAGCUUAUAUCAGUUUCCUAAUAAUAUCUUCAUAGCAUACUUUUUUGGGAUAAUGGUGACCAAAACGCCCCGGUUUCUCUAAUUUGUAGGAAUGAAAAUCUUGAAUUGCUUUUGAUGGAUUUCUCACUCAUCAAAAUAAAGCCACCAGCCUUCACAUAGAGGUUGAUUAAUCACUUUGGCCAGUCGUUCUGUUUUUCUAUGUUGCGGAAUAGGAAUGUCGUAUGAUCAUUUAUUUCCUCUGCGUCAUUUUAAGUUCUACAUCUUAUCUCUUAUUAUGAUAAAUCAUCAAUAUCAUACGUCUAUUACUCUUCCUGAUUCUACAUAUUGUUUUCAGUCAUAGAUUUAGAGUGUUUUUUUUCAUGUUCUUGCAAAGCAGAUGUGUUUAAAAAACUAUAGCUAUUUUACUGCUUUUCGGAUGCUAUGAAAUGCUUAUACUAAAUUUCACAAAUAUGUUCAUGUCUUUCUAUAUUUAUACAAUGUAUGUUGUGUUGCUCAAUGCUCGCUACCUCUGGUAUUAAUCUCUCUUGCAUUCCUUUACUAAUACCAUUAUCUUGUGCUUCUAAAUACCACAAUCUGAUCAAAGCCUUACGCCUCUGCAAAAUGGCGAGGUCUUCAUGGCACUAAAAUCUGGUAUUUACCUCCAUUUUCUGCCGUCAACUGUUAAUGAAAGUAGUACGAUGCCUAAUUUUGCCUUCUGUCGAUUUUUUUUCUUAAGGUAACUCUAAACUUAGGUUGAUGCCUUCGCUAACUUUAAUUUUGUGUCCUGAUGCUAUGGCCUAAUUUUUUCUAUUGUCCUUGAGCACCCCGUAGCUAAUAUAAUGUGAAUAGGAGUUUAGUUUGCUACUUAUACAGCAAUAGAUCCAUUUUUGUAGCUGCCAGAUAGUAUUCUUCCUGUCUCAUUAUGUCUUUUUGCUUCAUAUUCAGGGUCAAACUGGGCUAUAUUUCUUUCAUUGAGGCGAGGGUGAUUCCAGCAGGUGAGGCGCAAUUUAGACAUCUGGAUGAUGUCUUGCUAUGUCCAGGUGGUACCAUGUCUGAAUUAAGAUUUCCCUUGCUGAUUUUGCUUGGCGUACUCGCCUUUUUUCUUGAAGUUGGGCGUCAGUCGUCUCUGCGGCAAGAGUACCCGCCAUUCUGGAGGCCUCGCGCGCGCCAUGGUUGAGGUGUGUGGACGGCGUGGAUGGGAUCGCGCGGUUGGUCAAGG
Triticum dicoccoides is the source of this 2535-nucleotide long non-coding RNA. RefSeq lists it as uncharacterized. The record is from RefSeq and is a predicted model, not a curated record. NCBI's taxonomy places the organism in Eukaryota, Viridiplantae, Streptophyta, Magnoliopsida, Poales, Poaceae. The transcript has 3 exons.